GGUUGAAAGAGCUAAUAGUCAAAUCUAAAAUGGAGUCGUUCUUCUCCAAAAGCAUGGUCUCGUAGAACAAAAGAAUGGCUCGGUGCCAUGUCUGAAUGACUUUGUAAAUUAUAUGGAACACAAUAUGGAGGACAGGUUGGCGUUUUAAUAAAGACAUUAAGAUGGAAGCCUGUGUAAUAACAUGUGCUUCUUUCAAGGCCAUAAAGAAGCCAAGAUUGAAAAAAAAUAGCUGAAGCUCCAGAGAUAAGUAAUAACUUGUUAUUGGAUGAGCUUGAUUUGGACCCCGCUUUUCCUAUAUUCUGAAAGGGUAUAGAAGCUUACAGUCAUGUCAUAUUCAGACUUGGUAGGAGUGUUUUAUUGAUAAGAAAAAUGUAUAAUUGUACUAACUUUCCUUUGUUCUGAGAGUGGAACCGAGAAGCACUGUGCAACGUUUGUGCUCAUUGUAGAUCUUGCCACUCCCGUCUGAUGAAUCAAUUAAAGAUUGCCAUGGUUUACCUUUAACAAUUUUAUUUGCUUUUUAAGAGACGAACUUUGACAAGGUGACACACAAGCUGGAGGAACAGUAGUGUCCAGACCCGACAUGUCGCCCGUCCAUUCCCCUCCAAAGUGCCGGUAGAACUCAGCAGGUCAGCCAUCCGUGGUGGGAAACGGAUGGAGAAGUGUUCCUAAUAUAAGCCCUCCUUGCCCCUGUCGAGGAGCAGACAAUCAACUGUACCAGCAUCUUCUCAUUCAUACUGUGCCUAAGUUAAAAUGCAAAAGUGAGCCAAGCUGCACACAGCCAACUGCUCACAGUACCAACUGGCUGCCACUGGCCCAAAAACCUAAAGUCAUUUUUAAAAAUAAUUUUAAGUAAAACCUG
Molecule: long non-coding RNA, 859 nt
Organism: Amblyraja radiata (thorny skate)
Lineage: Eukaryota; Metazoa; Chordata; Chondrichthyes; Rajiformes; Rajidae
Exons: 3
Source: RefSeq, a predicted model, not a curated record